RNA transcript from Anolis carolinensis (green anole), 3084 nucleotides. It is a transcript of the gene named kunitz-like toxin PcKuz3, with no coding region annotated. The record is from RefSeq and is a predicted model, not a curated record. The transcript is spliced from 4 exons. Lineage: Eukaryota; Metazoa; Chordata; Lepidosauria; Squamata; Anolidae.
AUUCUGACCUCAACGGACAUGGCUGCAAUAGCCAGGCACUCCCUGGGAAUUCUUUGCCUAUCCUUUCCAUUCUCAGGUGUACCAUGAAUCCAGAGACCUGAUCCAGUACCUCUUUCAGCAGAAACAUGAAUCAUUGGUAUUACAGAACAGGGAUGAAAGUCUUCCAGCCUCCAUUCUGCUAUGUCACAGACUGAAUCUACACUGCCCUGUAUCCCAGGAUGUGAUCCCAGAUUAAACUGGAUUAUAGAAAUCUACACUUCCAGAUAAUCUGGGAUAAGCAGAUAAUCUUAGAUCAGAUCCCAGAAUAUAGGGCAGUGUAGAUGGGGACUCAGUUAAAUGAAAUAGUUCCGGCUACUGACUCCACUCACAACAUAUUCUUCAUUAAAGUCACAAUUCUUUAUCAACCAGGCAUACUAUGCAUUGCAUUUUGUCCUAAAUCUGAGAAGGAGAGGAAAGGAUAAGAUCUUUUAGUGAUCAUUGGUUUGUAAAAUUGCCAUAUAUCAAAAUUACCGUAACUUGAGGGCACAUAAUAGGUACAAACAUUCCAAUGACAUCCUUGAAUGCCUAACUAAGGGCACACUAUAGGGUUGAAUCAUGUAACCAUCAAGAAUUCGUUGUUCUGUUUGCUUGGAAGCUCCGUUCCAUUUCCUCAUGAAUCAACUUAUAAAGGGCUUAGUUCAGCACUGGAGACUCACAACUCGCAACCACGAUGCAGCCUGGUUCCUUAGUCUUCUCCAUCCUCAUUGUAGGAGUCUUCCUCACAUUAUGUUCUGACCUGCUGGGCAUUCCUGGACAGGCCGAGGGUGGCAAGAGCUCCAAAAAAUCACUAGCAUCAUAAUGCAGACCACAGAUUGGAACAUUCAGAGAUCUGUUUCCACGCCACUUGUUCUUUUAGAAUGAAUGCACUUGGGAAAAGUCAGAUGCUUCCCAGUCUACUGUACCAACAUUGGUGAAGAUCUUUGCAUGCUCUUUAAUAAACUCUUUCUGCAUCUCAUUUGUUUUCUUUCUUGUGCUCUGUUUACCUUAAUCACUUUCAUGUCUAUAUGAGAGAAUUGAUGAGUACAUAUGAAAAAUUAAAUUAAUCCGUGCCGCUUUGUCUCCUAAUUUGCUUUGACUUUGUUGUCUAAACACUGUCUCAAUAUGGAUCAGACCUCCAUGCUUGGCCCCUUUGUAUAUAUCAUCACAGGUUCAGCUGCCCCUGCAUUUCUCCAGCACAGUUUCCUGCCAUUCCAGCCCAAUGCGUGUGCUUUUCCCCAGGAUAAUGUAUUGGGUUGAGUAUUGGACUAUGAUGUCAGAAUCCGGGGUUCAAUUUCGUGUUCAGUCAUGGAAUAUUAGGCAGAACAAACAUUCUCAGACCUAGAAAAGCUUGCGACAGGUUCUAGGGUUACUAUAAGUUGGAAAUGGUUGCAUUUCUUUCUAAAAUUAGGUGUUGGUGUUUUUUUUAAAAAAAGAAAGAAAGAAAAGAAAUACACACUUUCCUAAGAUUAGAUGCUUACGAACAGGCAAGUAGCACAAAUGAGCACUUAGCAGCACAACACGAAGAACUGGGCAGGAGACCUAUACACCCAAUCCAUAUCUGCAGAGAAAGAUUCUUGCACAUCUCUAGUAGUCUUUAUUUAAAUCCUCCAUUCCUUCCAAAAGUGGGACUCAAGGUGCCUUACAGUAAAAAAAACUACAAUAUCAAUAGCAUGGCAUCUAAAAAUCUCACUCUGUCGGGAUCCUGGAAUUGGCAAUAUAAAAAUACCUGUCAAUAACACAAAAAGCAAGCAGUAUAAGUCAUUCAUGUAUUAUGGUCCUGUAAGCAAUAAAAAGAUUCCUGAAUAACAAAGACUGCAUCAUCUGAUCUAUCCUUUAGCUAAGUAUGAACUACCUAAAGCUGAAAAAAUAUGGAAGCCCAGAUUAUUUUUGCUACAUCUCCCCUCAUUCCUCACAGUUGUUCAUAUGGAUUACAGAUGAUGGGAUUUGUAGCUGCUCCCCCAAUAUCUACGGGGUCCUUGUUGUCCAUUUCUGUUAUAUGAUAGCUGGUUUCCCAAACCCUACUAGAUGUAACCAGCAUAAACAUUGAGUAAGACAUUUGAAACUGCAGCUAGACACAACUUCUAGGGAGACAAUUAAUUCUAUUGUUAUGAUUGAAUUGCAAAAAAUGAAUAUGAGCUAUAGUGUUACACCCCUAGGCAGCGAGAACACUAAAAACCAACACAGAGGCCAAUAACAAUAUAAUAUUUUUAUUGAAGCAAAUAAAGUUCCAAAAGGAAAUAAGCAGCAAAGUAGAAUAAGCAAUUGACCUUUCAGGAAAGAUCAAAAUUAGUCCAUUAGGUGAAAGUCUUAUGUCCAAUAUUAAAGUCCCAUUUUGUCCUAAAUCUAAGAAGGAGAAGAAGGGAUAAGAUCUUUUAGUGAUCAUUUGUUUGUAAAACUGCCAUAUAUCAAAAUUACCGUAACAUGAUGGCACAUAAUAGGUACACACAUUCCAAUGACAUCCUUGAAUACCUAACUAAGGGCACACUAUAGGAUUGCAUCAUGUAAUCAUCAAGAACCCGUUGUUCUGUUUGCCUGGAAGCUCUGUUCCAUUUCCUCAUGAGUCAACUUAUAAAGGGUUUAGUUCAGCACUGGAGACUCACAACUCACAACCACAAUGCAGCCUGGUUCCUUAGUCUUCUCCAUCCUCAUUGUAGGAGUCUUCCUCACAUUAUGUUCUGACCUGCUGGGCAUUCCUCGACAGGCCGAGAGCUCCAAACAGCCUGCAAAAUGCCAACUGUCUGUAGAUCCUGGAACCGGCAAUAAAAAACUAAAUGUUUAUUACUACAACAUAAAAACGAAGACGUGCGAGUCGUUCAUUUAUCAUGGUUCUGGAGGCAAUGAAAAUAGAUUCCUAAAUAAAAAGGAUUGUGUCGCCAGUUGUCAACAAUGAGCAAAAUCACUAGCGUCAUAAUGCAGACCACAGACUGGAAUAUUCAGAGAUCUGUUACCACGCCACUUGUUCUUUUAGAAUGAAAGCACUUGGAAAAGUCAGAUGCUUCCCAGUCUACUGUACCAACAUUAGUGAAGAUCUUUGCAUGCUCUUCAAUAAACUCUAUCUGCAUCUCA